This 497-nucleotide ribosomal RNA is filed under the name uncultured bacterium. Its description in RNAcentral is "partial 16S ribosomal RNA". It matches the Rfam family "Bacterial small subunit ribosomal RNA", at positions 28 to 507 of the family's 1533-position model. The record is from RNAcentral.
GAUGAACGCUGGCGGCGUGCCUAAUACAUGCAAGUCGAGCGAACAGAUGAGGCGCUUGCUCCUCUGACGUUAGCGGCGGACGGGUGAGUAACACGUGGAUAACCUACCUAUCAGACUGGGAUCACUUCGGGAAACCGGAGCUAAUCCCGGAUAAUAUAUUGAACCGCAUGGUUCAAUAGUGAAAGACGGUUUUGCUGUCACUACUAGAUGGAUCCGCGCCGCAUUAGCUAGUUGGUAAGGUAACGGCUUACCAAGGCAACGAUGCGUAGCCGACCUGAGAGGGUGAUCGGCCACACUGGAACGGAGACACGGUCCAGACUCCUACGGGAGGCAGCAGUAGGGAAUCGUCCGCAAUGGGCGAAAGCCUGACGGAGCAACGCCGCGUGAGUGAUGAAGAUCUUCGGAUCGUAAAACUCUGUUAUGAGGGAAGAACAAAUGUGUAAGUAACUAUGCACGUCUUGACGGUACCUAAUCAGAAAGCCACGGCUAACUACGUG